CCUCAUAUUCUCUUUCUGAGCCUUGUAGUCUCCUUUCAUAUGUCCGACCACCAAUUAUGAGUUACUACAGAUCUUCAGCUCCCGCAUCCUAAGUUCUUUUGUAAUUUUUAGCCCAACGAUAAAAGCUUCAUAUUUAGCCUCAUUAUUGAUGAUUGAAAACUCAAAAUGCAAGUCAUAUUUUGCAACAGUUCUCUUUGGUCUAGUGAGGAUUAGUCCAGCUCC
Molecule: long non-coding RNA, 222 nt
Filed under: Elaeis guineensis (African oil palm)
Lineage: Eukaryota; Viridiplantae; Streptophyta; Magnoliopsida; Arecales; Arecaceae
Description: long non-coding RNA (EGUI_LNC009491)
Source: RNAcentral